RNAcentral lists this long non-coding RNA (1446 nucleotides) under Homo sapiens (human). RNAcentral's name for it is "HSALNT0359028". Lineage: Eukaryota; Metazoa; Chordata; Mammalia; Primates; Hominidae. The record is from RNAcentral.
CCCGCCCCGUCCGCGCAGCUCGUCCGGCCCGCCCGCAGGCCAGCUUCUCUCGGGAGCCUCCACCCAGGCGCAUGGCUCCAUGAAGCAAGAGGAGGAGGCAGAGCGCGAGAGAUCCCGUCCGCCCCAGCCGCGUCUGGGCCAGGAGAAAAGCAAAACCAUAUUCCUGCUGCUGUCAGUUUUGAUGCACUGAGAAAACUUCAGAGACCUAAGCUUUUUCCAGAGAAGAGAAGCUUUACUGGUGUUCCAGCCCUAAGAAACUUAAAUCCUCAGUGUGACACAACUCAGUCCUUCUACUGCAGCAGCUCUUUUAUAAAAGCCUCCCAAAGCUCCAAGAAGGAACAAAGAAUGUGACCCAGUAAGCUCACACCAUAAGUCUAUAUUGCAGAAACCUUUGUUCAACAAAACUGCAGAUGCUCUGUUGAAUCCACUGGAGAUUGUCCUGAUACUAAGGACAAGUAUGCUCAUAUGACAUUAACAGACAAGACACUUUUCAGAAAGACAGGUUGUUCUUUUGGGCCACAUCUAAGAAAUCUUUGUCUAGCCAAAAGCCACAAAUAAUUUCUCAUUUUUUGGCUUCUGGAAGAUGUACAGUUAAAUGUUAUAUUUGGGACUGUUAUCUAAUUUGAUUAAAUUGCACUCUACAAUAUGAUAUUUGAAUUGAUGAAAAAUUAGUAAAUGUUAAUAUUUUUUAAAGUAGCCAAAUCUUGCAAUUUAUAUAUAAUAGAGAAGACUAGAAAAUCCCCCAUAUUUAUUUCCUCUUACUUCGUACUACUAAAAUUUGUAUUUAGGCAUUUGGUUUCUCAGAUAAACAUUACAUUCCCCAGUAUAUGGUUCUAUCUGGCUUGGUGACGACAUGUUGAACAUUAAGAUGUGAGCAGAAGUAAUACAUACACACUCUUUUUAAUGUCUUUAAUUGAAUGGGAUAUUGGCCCAUUUUUUCUUCCAGUUUAUUACACUGAAUAUUGACAUGUUAUUUUCCAAUAUUGAGACAAUCAAUGACAAGACUUUAAGAGUAACAAUGUAAAAAUUAUAGAAGUUGUCUGAGUUUAUCAACAAUCCCCUGGAUUAGAACCCCCUACCAGUUCUAGGUCAUCUAAUAUAUAGACAUUGUGUUCAGUAGAAAUAAAUAUAUAUAUUUUUUAAUAUACUUUAAGUUCUAGGAUACAUGUGCACAACAUGCAGGUUUGUUACAUUGGUAUACACAUGCCAUGUUGGUUUGCUGCACCCAUUAACUCAUCAUUUACAUUAGUUAUUUCUCCUAAUGCUAUCCCUCCCCCUGCCCCCCACCCCCCGACAGGCCCUGGGGUGUGAUGUUCCCCACCCUGUGUCCAAGUGUUCUCAUUGCUCAAUUCCCACCUAUGGGAAUACAUUUUUAAAUCAUUUUUAAAGGUGUUAUUACAUUCUGAUUGAACAUUUUCAGAAAGAAUAAAUAAUUUAAUACAAGAA